Molecule: ribosomal RNA, 389 nt
Filed under: uncultured bacterium
Lineage: Bacteria
Description: bacterial SSU rRNA
Rfam family: Bacterial small subunit ribosomal RNA
Source: RNAcentral
AUUGAACGCCGGCGGAAUGCUUUACACAUGCAAGUCGGGCGGCAGCGCGGGGGCAACCCUGGCGGCGAGCGGCGAACGGGUGAGUAAUACAUCGGAACGUGUCCUUGAGUGGGGGAUAGCUCGGCGAAAGCCGGAUUAAUACCGCAUAAGCUCUGAGGAGGAAAGCGGGGGACGUGGUAACGGCCUCGCGCUGUUGGAGCGGCCGAUGUCGGAUUAGCUAGUUGGUGGGGUAAAGGCCCACCAAGGCGACGAUCCGUAGCUGGUCUGAGAGGAUGAUCAGCCACACUGGAACUGAGACACGGUCCAGACUCCUACGGGAGGCAGCAGUGGGGAAUUUUGGACAAUGGGGGCAACCCUGAUCCAGCCAUUCCGCGUGAGUGAAGAAGGCC